Molecule: ribosomal RNA, 506 nt
Filed under: uncultured bacterium
Lineage: Bacteria
Description: partial 16S ribosomal RNA
Rfam family: Bacterial small subunit ribosomal RNA
Source: RNAcentral
AGUGAACGCUGGCGGUAGGCCUAACACAUGCAAGUCGAACGGCAGCACAGGAGAGCUUGCUCUCUGGGUGGCGAGUGGCGGACGGGUGAGGAAUACAUCGGAAUCUACUCUGUCGUGGGGGAUAACGUAGGGAAACCUACGCUAAUACCGCAUACGACCUACGGGUGAAAGCAGGGGACCUUCGGGCCUUGUGCGAUUGAAUGAGCCGAUGUCGGAUUAGCUAGUUGGCGGGGUAAAGGCCCACCAAGGCGACGAUCCGUAGCUGGUCUGAGAGGAGGGUGCGCCACACUGGAAAUGAGACACGGUCCAGCGUCCUACGGGAGGCAGCAGUGGGGAAUAUUGGACAAUGGGCGCAAGCCUGAUCCAGCCAUACCGCGUGGGUGAAGAAGGCCUUCGGGUUGUAAAGCCCUUUUGUUGGGAAAGAAAUCCAGCUGGCUAAUACCCGGUUGGGAUGACGGUACCCAAAGAAUAAGCACCGGCUAACUUCGAGCCAGCAGCCGCGGUAA